Molecule: ribosomal RNA, 525 nt
Filed under: uncultured bacterium
Lineage: Bacteria
Description: partial 16S ribosomal RNA
Rfam family: Bacterial small subunit ribosomal RNA
Source: RNAcentral
UGGGGAAUUUUGGACAAUGGGCGAAAGCCUGAUCCAGCAAUGCCGCGUGUGUGAAGAAGGCCUUCGGGUUGUAAAGCACUUUUGUCCGGAAAGAAAUGGCUCUGGUUAAUACCUGGGGUCGAUGACGGUACCGGAAGAAUAAGGACCGGCUAACUACGUGCCAGCAGCCGCGGUAAUACGUAGGGUCCAAGCGUUAAUCGGAAUUACUGGGCGUAAAGCGUGCGCAGGCGGUUGUGCAAGACCGAUGUGAAAUCCCCGAGCUUAACUUGGGAAUUGCAUUGGUGACUGCACGGCUAGAGUGUGUCAGAGGGGGGUAGAAUUCCACGUGUAGCAGUGAAAUGCGUAGAGAUGUGGAGGAAUACCGAUGGCGAAGGCAGCCCCCUGGGAUAACACUGACGCUCAUGCACGAAAGCGUGGGGAGCAAACAGGAUUAGAUACCCUGGUAGUCCACGCCCUAAACGAUGUCAACUAGUUGUUGGGGAUUCAUUUCCUUAGUAACGUAGCUAACGCGUGAAGUUGACCGCC